This 489-nucleotide ribosomal RNA is filed under the name uncultured bacterium. RNAcentral's name for it is "partial 16S ribosomal RNA". It matches the Rfam family "Bacterial small subunit ribosomal RNA", at positions 30 to 507 of the family's 1533-position model. The record is from RNAcentral.
AUUGAACGCUGGCGGCAGGCCUAACACAUGCAAGUCGAACGGUAACAGGAAGAAGCUUGCUUCUUUGCUGACGAGUGGCGGACGGGUGAGUAAUGUCUGGGAAACUGCCUGAUGGAGGGGAUAACUACUGGAAACGGUAGCUAAUACCGCAUAACGUCGCAAGACCAAAGAGGGGGACCUUCGGGCCUCUUGUCAUCGGAUGUGCCCAGAUGGGAUUAGCUAGUAGGUGGGGUAACGGCUCACCUAGGCGACGAUCCCUAGCUGGUCUGAGAGGAUGACCAGCCACACUGGAACUGAGACACGGUCCAGACUCCUACGGGAGGCAGCAGUGGGGAAUAUUGCACAAUGGGCGCAAGCCUGAUGCAGCCAUGCCGCGUGUAUGAAGAAGGCCUUCGGGUUGUAAAGUACUUUCAGCGGGGAGGAAGGGAGUAAAGUUAAUACCUUUGCUCAUUGACGUUACCCGCAGAAGAAGCACCGGCUAACUCCGUG